GAUUUGGCUGGCUGGUCUGCCUAACGGUAUGUACUGGUCUGGCCGAGUCUUUACCUCUUGGUGAGCCUUCAUGCUCUUCACUGGGUGUGUAGGGGAACCAGGACUUUUACCUUGAGAAAAUUAGAGUGUUCAAAGCAGGCUUAUGCCCGAAUACAUUAGCAUGGAAUAAUAAAAUAGGACGUGCGCUUCUAUUUUGUUGGUUUCUAGAGUCGCCGUA
This 217-nucleotide ribosomal RNA is filed under the name uncultured fungus. RNAcentral describes it as "partial small subunit ribosomal RNA". The stretch from base 48 to 217 matches the Rfam family "Eukaryotic small subunit ribosomal RNA", at positions 693 to 864 of the family's 1831-position model. The record is from RNAcentral. Lineage: Eukaryota; Fungi.